RNAcentral lists this transfer RNA (53 nucleotides) under Melopsittacus undulatus (budgerigar). RNAcentral describes it as "partial tRNA-Phe". The record is from RNAcentral. Lineage: Eukaryota; Metazoa; Chordata; Aves; Psittaciformes; Psittaculidae.
AACUAAAGCAUGGUGCUGAAGAUACCAAGAUGGACCCCCCCCUCCCAAGGACA